GACGAACGCUGGCGGCGUGCUUAACACAUGCAAGUCGAACGGAAAGGCCCUGCUUUUGUGGGGUGCUCGAGUGGCGAACGGGUGAGUAACACGUGAGUAACCUGCCCUUGACUUUGGGAUAACUUCAGGAAACUGGGGCUAAUACCGGAUAGGAGCUCCUGCUGCAUGGUGGGGGUUGGAAAGUUUCGGCGGUUGGGGAUGGACUCGCGGCUUAUCAGCUUGUUGGUGGGGUAGUGGCUUACCAAGGCUUUGACGGGUAGCCGGCCUGAGAGGGUGACCGGCCACAUUGGGACUGAGAUACGGCCCAGACUCCUACGGGAGGCAGCAGUGGGGAAUAUUGCACAAUGGGCGGAAGCAUGAUGCAGCAACGCCGCGUGCGGGAUGACGGCCUUCGGGUUGUAAACCGCUUUCGCCUGUGACGAAGCGUGAGUGACGGUAAUGGGUAAAGAAGCACCGGCUAGCUACGUG
RNAcentral lists this ribosomal RNA (468 nucleotides) under uncultured bacterium. Its description in RNAcentral is "partial 16S ribosomal RNA". It matches the Rfam family "Bacterial small subunit ribosomal RNA", at positions 28 to 507 of the family's 1533-position model. The record is from RNAcentral.